UUGUGUGAAUACAUAGCACAUUCGAGGUAGACGCAGAGAACUGAAACAUCUAAGUACCUGCAGGAAGAGAAAGAAAAUUCGAUUCCCUGAGUAGCGGCGAGCGAAACGGGAAAAGCCCAAACCAACAAGCUUGCUUGUUGGGGUUGUAGGACUCCAAUAUGGUCGUUCUUUCAGAUAGUCGAAUGACUUGGAAAAGUCAGUCAAAGAGGGUAAAAACCCCGUAGACGAAAUGUGGAAGACACCUAGGAGGAUCCUGAGUACGGCGGAACACGAGAAAUUCCGUCGGAAUCCGGGAGGACCAUCUCCCAAGGCUAAAUACUCCCUAGUGACCGAUAGUGAACCAGUACCGUGAGGGAAAGGUGAAAAGCACCCCGGAAGGGGAGUGAAAUAGAACCUGAAACCGUGUGCCUACAACAAGUCAAAGCCCGUUAAUGGGUGAUGGCGUGCCUUUUGUAGAAUGAACCGGCGAGUUACGAUUGCAUGCGAGGUUAAGUUGAAGAGACGGAGCCGCAGCGAAAGCGAGUCUGAAUAGGGCGUUUGAGUAUGUAGUCGUAGACCCGAAACCAUGUGAUCUACCCAUGUCCAGGUUGAAGGUGCGGUAAAACGCACUGGAGGACCGAACCCACGUACGUUGAAAAGUGCGGGGAUGAGGUGUGGGUAGCGGAGAAAUUCCAAACGAACUUGGAGAUAGCUGGUUCUCUCCGAAAUAGCUUUAGGGCUAGCCUCGGAAUUGAGAAUGAUGGAGGUAGAGCACUGUUUGGACUAGGGGCCCAUCUCGGGUUACCGAAUUCAGAUAAACUCCGAAUGCCAUUCAUUCAUAUCCGGGAGUCAGACUGUGAGUGAUAAGAUCCAUAGUCGAAAGGGAAACAGCCCAGACCACCAGCUAAGGUCCCAAAAUAUAUGUUAAGUGGAAAAGGAUGUGGGGUUGCACAGACAACUAGGAUGUUGGCUUAGAAGCAGCCACCAUUUAAAGAGUGCGUAAUAGCUCACUAGUCGAGUGACCCUGCGCCGAAAAUGUACCGGGGCUAAACAUAUUACCGAAGCUGUGGAGUACACCUUUAGGUGUAUUGGUAGGAGAGCGUUCUAAGGGCGUCGAAGGCAGAUCGUGAGGACUGCUGGAGCGCUUAGAAGUGAGAAUGCCGGUAUGAGUAGCGAAAGACAGGUGAGAAUCCUGUCCACCGAAUGACUAAGGUUUCCUGGGGAAGGCUCGUCCGCCCAGGGUUAGUCGGGACCUAAGCCGAGGCCGAUAGGCGUAGGCGAUGGAUAACAGGUUGAUAUU
This 1279-nucleotide ribosomal RNA is filed under the name Enterococcus faecium. RNAcentral describes it as "partial 23S ribosomal RNA". It matches the Rfam family "Bacterial large subunit ribosomal RNA", at positions 154 to 1437 of the family's 2925-position model. Lineage: Bacteria; Bacillati; Bacillota; Bacilli; Lactobacillales; Enterococcaceae. The record is from RNAcentral.